Molecule: ribosomal RNA, 301 nt
Filed under: uncultured bacterium
Lineage: Bacteria
Description: partial 16S ribosomal RNA
Rfam family: Bacterial small subunit ribosomal RNA
Source: RNAcentral
CAGCCGCCGCGGGAAUACGUAGGUGGCAAGCGUUGUCCGGAAUUAUUGGGCGUAAAGGGCUCGCAGGCGGUUUCUUAAGUCUGAUGUGAAAGCCCCCGGCUCAACCGGGGAGGGUCAUUGGAAACUGGGAAACUUGAGUGCAGAAGAGGAGAGUGGAAUUCCAUGUGUAGCGGUGAAAUGCGUAGAGAUGUGGAGGAACACCAGUGGCGAAGGCGACUCUCUGGUCUGUAACUGACGCUGAGGAGCGAAAGCGUGGGGAGCGAACAGGAUUAGAUACCCGCGUAGUCCCUGUCUCUUAUAC